Molecule: ribosomal RNA, 387 nt
Filed under: uncultured eukaryote
Lineage: Eukaryota
Description: SSU rRNA
Rfam family: Eukaryotic small subunit ribosomal RNA
Source: RNAcentral
AGCUCCAAUAGCGUAUAUUAAAGUUGUUGCAGUUAAAAAGCUCGUAGUUGGAUUUCUGGACUGAGCGACCGGUCCGCCGCUGUGCGGUGUGUACUUGUGUUUGACUCGGUUCAUCCUUGAGGGGAAGCGCAUUACGGCAUUAGGUUGUCGUGGCGGGGAACCUCAUCUUUUACUGUGAAAAAAUUAGAGUGUUUAAAGCAGGCAUUUUGCUGUGAAUACAUUAGCAUGGAAUAAUAACAUAGGACCCUGGUUCUAUUUUGUUGGUUGGAGACCAAGGUAAUGAUUAAUAGGGAUAGUUGGGGGUAUUCAUAUUUAAUUGUCAGAGGUGAAAUUCUUGGAUUUAUGAAAGAUGAACUCAUGCGAAAGCAUUUACCAAGGAUGUUUUCA